This is a long non-coding RNA of Trachemys scripta elegans, 617 nucleotides long. RefSeq lists it as uncharacterized. The transcript has 3 exons. Lineage: Eukaryota; Metazoa; Chordata; Testudines; Emydidae. The record is from RefSeq and is a predicted model, not a curated record.
CCAAUUCUAGUAAUAAAUCAUCUAUCGGUAUCCAAUAUACUGAAGCUGCCUAAUUGCAUUAUGAGCUCCCUCGAAGGAACACCGCCCAUAGCCAGGAAUGAACAGUUCCUAUUGUCUAGCCUGAAUAAAACAGCUUUGAUAUACUCCCUUAAAUCAUCAGUUUACCCACCAAGAAUUCUAGUGUUCUCCCUUGAACCAUUUUUCUUUUUCUACAAAACCCCCUAUACACACUCAACUAAGUGUUCUGAUGCCUGGAUCCAAAAUCUGCAUCAAUUACAUUGGGACGUUAUCUUCUCAUGACUGAUGGCUCUGGGGGCUCUGCCUGUCUCCAGCACUCCAGACCCUCAUCUACCACCACCACCUGGGAAACCCAAUCGAUUCAAGCUUCACAAAGAGCAGCCAAGAACAGUGCGGUGUUGGACAAAGAACAGGAGCAGAUGCUGGAAAGCGGUGAGACGGAGGUGUUUGUCUCUAAUCUGGCUCUUGGGAGCGCUGGUCACCCCAGCGGUGACGGAACCUGUGAAGCGAGCUCUGAGCCCCUUGCAUUAGACUGGGAUCCUGUCUCUGUAAGAGAGAUCAGGGCAGAGCUGUGCGAGGGGCCGGUUCAUAAAUCCUCA